Molecule: non-coding RNA, 172 nt
Filed under: bovine gut metagenome
Description: malK-I RNA
Rfam family: malK-I RNA
Source: RNAcentral
GCGGCGCGCCACUCCACUACUUUGGCGCGGCGUACAUCAAAAAAGGAGGAAACGAUCCGCCCGACCGGCGGUGCGGCAGUGUGGAGACCUGUCGUAAUGCGCUCCGUCCCAUGCGGACGGUCGCGAGGCUUCGCGCGCGGAGGCGGCGGAGCCGCGGUCAGAGAACAUGGCA